Molecule: transfer RNA, 70 nt
Filed under: Scincella potanini
Lineage: Eukaryota; Metazoa; Chordata; Lepidosauria; Squamata; Scincidae
Also listed under: 1 other name
Description: tRNA-Trp
Rfam family: tRNA
About the family: Transfer RNA (tRNA) molecules are approximately 80 nucleotides in length.
Source: RNAcentral
AGGGACUUAGGCUAAAUAAAACCGGUAACCUUCAAAGCUACAAUCAAGAGUUUAAACCUCUUAGCCCCUG